Triticum dicoccoides is the source of this 771-nucleotide long non-coding RNA. RefSeq lists it as uncharacterized. The transcript has 3 exons. The record is from RefSeq and is a predicted model, not a curated record. Lineage: Eukaryota; Viridiplantae; Streptophyta; Magnoliopsida; Poales; Poaceae.
CCCUCUCUCCUCUCGCUACGCCGGCGAUGAGCUGCUCGUCGGAACUCCCCUCCCCCUCGCCCAGACUCCGACCAACUCUCCACUCCCUCCCCUGAACCUCCUCCCCCCCACCUCCAAGCAGUCAGGCCUCCCGUCUCCACCCACCAAUCAUCGCCGCGCCAUCUUGUCCAGCAACGCCUCUUCCGCCGUCGUGGCGCCACCCUGAAACCCCAAAGCCUCGGUGUCGUGAUACCAAGGCCACGUUAUCAGGGGCACACCACCACUACCCCGCCCCGAAAUACCUGGGUGCCAGUGUCGCCACCAUUGCGGCGGCGUCCCGAAACCCCUCGGUCUAAGGUAGUACAAUUUCUGCCGCUCAGGGGUCACGGUCGUGGUGAUGGGAUUGAACGCCCGGAAGGAGUGCGCUGACAGGAGCAGGAAGACCGGCGAGAUCACCUACCGCAACUUCUCCUGUUUCCCGCGAGGCCUUCAGGCCAGUGUGAAGCCGGGAAGCCACACCACGGCUGAUGGCGCCAAUGCCGGACCCGGCGACGGGCCGCAGUGCCCACCUCCAUCGCCGGGCUCAACAAAUCUGGCCCCAAGCUUGAGGGUUUAGACAAUCACUGAAGGGAAGCUCUGCUCCAUCAUUGCAGCAACCUGUCUUCAUGAAGCUCCGAGCCGCCUGUUCGAUCUUCUAGCUCCCAGUCAUCAGGGGAUCUUAUGGAGAAGCCCUCCAUACAGCUGCAGUAAGGAAGCUUGUCCUCUUCGCAGAUCGUGAAAGGCCCACAGAUG